This 445-nucleotide ribosomal RNA is filed under the name uncultured bacterium. RNAcentral describes it as "bacterial SSU rRNA". It matches the Rfam family "Bacterial small subunit ribosomal RNA", at positions 330 to 792 of the family's 1533-position model. The record is from RNAcentral.
CCCAGACUCCUACGGGAGGCAGCAGUAGGGAAUAUUGCUCAAUGGGGGAAACCCUGAAGCAGCAACGCCGCGUGGAGGAUGAAGGCUUUCGGAUUGUAAACUCCUUUUGUUAGAGAAGAUAAUGACAGUAUCUAACGAAUAAGCACCGGCUAACUCCGUGCCAGCAGCCGCGGUAAUACGGAGGGUGCAAGCGUUACUCGGAAUCACUGGGCGUAAAGAGCGCGUAGGCGGGAUAGCAAGUCAGAUGUGAAAUCCUAUGGCUUGACCAUAGAACUGCAUUUGAAACUGUUAUUCUAGAGUAUGGGAGAGGUAGGUGGAAUUCUUGGUGUAGGGGUAAAAUCCGUAGAGAUCAAGAGGAAUACUCAUUGCGAAGGCGACCUGCUAGAACAUAACUGACGCUGAUGCGCGAAAGCGUGGGGAGCAAACAGGAUUAGAUACCCGAGUA